AACGAACGCUGGCGGCAUGCCUAACACAUGCAAGUCGAACGAGAACAUCGGGACUUGUGGCGCACGGGUGCGUAACGCGUGGGAACCGGCCCUUAGGUUCGGAAUAACUCCCCGAAAGGGGUGCUAAUACCGGAUAAUGUCUUCGGACCAAAGAUUUAUCGAAUUUGGAUGGGCCCGCGUUGGAUUAGCUGGUUGGGAGGGUAAAAGCCUACCAAGGGGACGAUCCCUAGCUGGGUUGAGAGAAUGGUUAGCAACACUGGGAGUAGGACGCGGCCCGGACUCCUACGGGAGGCAGGAAAGGCGGAUAUUGGACCAUGGGGGAAGGGAUGAUCCAGCUAUGCCGCGUGAGCGAUGAAGGCCUUAAGGAUGAAAAGCUCUUUUACCCGGGAUGAUAAUGACGGUACCGGGAGAAUAAGCUCCGGCUAACUCCGUG
Molecule: ribosomal RNA, 433 nt
Filed under: uncultured bacterium
Lineage: Bacteria
Description: partial 16S ribosomal RNA
Rfam family: Bacterial small subunit ribosomal RNA
Source: RNAcentral